AAUGACAAAGAUUGUCAAUGUCAGGGUCACCUAAAGGCGAAAGGUCGUCAUCAUCAAAUAUCGUAUCGCACGUGCUGUAGGCACAAUGCUUAUAUUAUGAUUUUAAUUCAAAUUUUAUUUUCUUAUUGCUUUUGAUUCAUAAAUGGAAUGUCGUGAUUGGCAGGGUUAGUGGGCUAAAUGGAAGGAUUCAGCACAUUUGGUGGUCGUAUAUAAGUGAUGCACCUGUCAACCAUGACAGCUUGUGACGGACUGGAUUCUCUGAUCAUCGGAGCACUAUGGAUGUAUCACCGUGUAUUCUGUUUAUUUGUUUGACCACAUGCAUAUUUGACUUGUUUACGAUGGCUGACCAGUUCAUGGGAGGGGUCAGUGGCUCAAGAGAAAUGAGCACUGGUCAAGAUCAGCUGGACGGGUAUUGCAAUCAGCCUGAAUUGGUGACUGGACAUGAAGGUGAGUCAUUUCCAGGCUACAGUCUGCGAAUGGUACAAGUUCUUAUGUCGCCAGGUCAGUCUGACAUCUCACACAUCAUGAAACACACCAGCCACAUUCCACCCAGCAUGUCAUGUGACCCUUCUGUCAUGGGAACGAUGCAAUCUGACCAGUUAGCAAGCCUGAAGCAGUCUGUCAUGGAACAUGCCAACCUUGGUCGCAGUCACCCAGACCUGAAAAGGUUCUUGCCAACUUUCACUGGGACCUGUGCUCGAGACCAUCUCUCACCACACGGUUUCCUGCAACUUGUCUCAAUCGGCAACCACUUUAAAGAGUCUUAUCUAAACAAAUUGGAACACAAGAGGAUGAAGCCUGUGUAUUCCAGUUUACAUGUAGAGACCAUUGAAUCAAGUGCGGCAUAUCAGAGUGUUCUGGGUUUGCUACAUGGAAUGGUAGCAAAGAAUCAAUUUAAUAAAAUGAAAAUACAAAAAAUCACAAGACAAAUGUGUGACACCUAUGACGCCAAACUCCCAUCAUGUUCCUGUGGCCGCAUUCGUGAUCUCUCCCCAUUCUUUACCCAGGCCAUUGCAACAGGAAGGCAUGCGUUCAAAAAUACUUCACCACAUGACCUAGAAACACUGUUCAAAACACACUUGAACAGCACUUGGUUAGAUACACACUUGAACAGCACUUGGUUAGAUACUACAAGCCUUCAACUAUUCCGUGUAGCAAUGCAAUACCAGUGUCCGGCUGACAAAGCUCAUUGCCAGGAUUGGAGCCUCUGUAACAUGUUCACCAGGGAAAUUCUACACAAUCUGUACAACCUGUCAGCAGACUACCUCUACAGCUUGUACACUGACCCUAUAUACCAGUCGUUUGCCAGACUGAAGGCGUAUCCGUUUCUACAGCAAGUUGUCAAUCGAGCCACUGGGCCCUCUACAAACCAGUCCAUGUUUGUUUCCUUUGGAGACCUGAACUUCCUGCAAUAUGUGCGAACCAGUCUGUCUUAUAUCAAGAGGGAAAGCCCCAAAUUAGCGUCAAGGUCACUAGGUCAAAGGUCAAGGACACAGUGACUCGAAACUGUAAAAUGGUUUCCAGGUGAUAACUCAAGAAUACUUAGGCCUAGGAUCAUGAAACUUCACAGGCUGAUAUUUGAGAUAUUUCAGAAGAAUAAUGGCCAGAAAGCUGGUGGUGAAUUGUUCUUUAGAAUCCUCAACGACGGCGAAGAAAUCUCAAACCUCAUUCAAGGCUGCAGCAAAGCAAUCAAACUUUGUCCACUGCGCAAUCUGAUUUCCAUGGUAUCUGAUUUCAGAAAAGAUUUUCUACAUCAGUGCUUUCAGUUUUCACUUUAAAUGUUCAGUAUUUAUUUUUAAUUCUGCCCCUUCCAUCUAUUGAUGCAAAAGAGGCAAUUUCAUGUCCGUCUGUAUGAUGUUUACCAUACUGUUUGUUUUUCUUUAGCACCAACAUAGGUAGCUACAACACUUAGAUAUUAUACAAGUGCUGCUUAUUACUAUUUCUUCCUGGGAAGUCUAGUCUCCACUUUAUCACUUACUGGUAACUCCCCUAGGGAAGUGCUGUACCCCCAAUACCUUGCACCGGUAAUUCCUUAAGGUUGUCUGGUAUCCAAUACAUACCGGUAACUCCCAUAAGGUAGUCUGGUAUCCAAUAUAUUACUUUCGAGUACCGGGUAUCUCCCCUAAAUUAGUCUGGUAUCCAAUAUAUAUAACUUUUCCAGUAACUCACCUAAGGAAGUGUGUUAUCCAAUAUACCACUUACCGGUAACUCCCCUAAAGUGGUCGUCUGUUAUCCAAAAUAUAACUUACCGGUAACACAACUUAGGUAGUCUGGUAUUCCAUAUAUCAAUUACCAGUGACUCCUUUAAAUUAGUCUGUUAUCUAAUAUAUCACUUACCGGUUACUCCCCUAUAUUAGUCUGUUAUCCAAUAUAUCAGUUACCUGUAACUCCCCUAAAUUAGUCUGUUAUCCAAUAUAUCAGUUACCGGUAACUCCCCUAAAUUAGUCUGUAAUCCAAUAUAUCAGUUACCAGUAACUCCCCUAAAUUAGUCUGUUAUCCAAUCCAUGUAUAUCACUUACCGGUAAGUCCCCUAAAUUAGUCUGUAAUCCAAUAUAUCACUUACCGGUAACUCAACUAAGGUAGUCUGGUAUCCAAUAUAUCAGUUACCGGUAACACCCCUGAAGUAGUUUCAUAUCCAAUAUAUCACUUACUGGUAACUCCCCUGACGUAGUAUGGUAUCCAAUGUAUCACUUUCUUGUUACUCCCCUAAGGUAGUCUGGUAUCCAAAAUAUCACUUACGGGUAACUCCCCUCAGCUUGUCCAAAGUCCUCUACACCACUUACCUCUUUUUAGAACAAUUUGAUAUAAGAAGAGGUAUGAUUAUUUAGCUGUGUAUGGAGUUGUGAAAAUUUACCUUUGCUAUGACUGUUUUUAAAGAUAACAUACUGUUUAUUACUAGGUAUUAUUUAAAAACAUGUACCAUACUUUUGUGAUGUUAAAAGAAGUUAAUUAACUUGUUUUAAGGAAUGUUUGACCCAGUCAAAGUGUUAAUUGUAAUUUCAAAAAGUAUUAUGUUUUUUUUUGCAUUUGUACAAGUAAAUACAUAAGCUUUCAUUGUUUUUAGUAAAAUUACAUUGAGACAUUUGCUGUGAAACUAGUAUUGAUAGAUUUAUUAUGUUGUAGCGAGUUAACUUUAUAUUUUUUUAGAUAAAUGUGUUUUGUGUUCAUUCCAUUAAAAGGAACAUUGCAUAUCAAAUUCAAGAUUGUUUAAGUGCAUCUCCUCUUUUAAGUUCAAGAAUUGGUUAAGUGUGUUACAGUGUAUACCUUACUCUGCAGAUAUAUGUAUUGCAACGAUGCACAAUUUGUUCUUAUAUUAAUUCUUUUUAUGUUUUUGUCAAAGUUUAACUAUUCACUUGCUGAAAAUGUUGUGCAUUUUUUUUGUAAAUAAGUGAUACAUUAUAUUUAUAAUUUCAAAGCUCUAAUCCAUUUCAACUAAUGACUUUGAAUGAAUUCAUUUUGUAACUUUUGUCAUUGGACAGAAUGUUCGAUCGGUUAACAUCUUCUUUGAAGUUGUUUGGAUCGCACAGGGAUAACCAAUAUAUACUGAAAGAAUUCUUCUGAUUAAUUACAUUGAAUUGUUUAACAUGUGUAACUUUUUAUAAGUUCUUUUAGUUUAUAAAUAUUGAUUUUAAAGUUUUAAUGAACAUGUAUGAAGUAUUUUUAAUACUAAGAACUAUGAUACACAUACCUGCCUUAGGACAAAUAAAAACUGUAAAGUAUUCUAAAGAAAUCCGAACACCAGUAGUUAGAUUUGUUUAAUUUAUUCACAUCUAAAGGUAUGCAAAAGAAAGUGGGUUGUAAUGUGUUAAUGUUAAAGCAUGUAUAUACGAUCUUGUCAAAUAUUUAUUUAUUAAUAUAAAAUGUGUAAAAACUUAUUAUACAUAUAUUUCAAUAUAAACUAAAAUAAAAGUUAAGAAGAACAUGUGUCGAAAAAUGCUAAAUAAGCCAGAUAUUUAAUUCUGAAAUCGAAAAAGGCUGUACAGCCGAAUUCGCCAGCAUGUAUAUCAUGCAUGUACGAUGUGAAUCUAAAUUUAGUUUAACGGUUCAUUUGAAAUUCCUGCAGCGAUAUCGAUUCAUACGACACACGAACACUUACUAAAAAGACGAAUGCAUCGGUUAUUGUAGGAAAAUAAUUACGAAUUAUCUUCGUCACAAUCGGCUCGGGGCGCUAAUUUGUAUUUGCUGUAUUUUAUGAAAUUCGUCUUAAAUGUAUCAUUUUUCUUGCAUAUUGUGUGUUAUUAGAACAUAUUUGUAUCAAUAUUUUACAAUUCAGCACAUAUAAAAAUCGUAUAUACCCGCUUUAAGAUAAAGUUAAACAUUAAGUUGUAUUUGCCCCUUAUUUUGUGGUGAUAUCAUUCAUGCUUGAGCCUUUUUUUCCCAUUGAUCACAUUGAUAAAUUACUUGGACUGGUUUACAUAUUGUAUGUGCUAAAAUCCUAUAUCAAAACUAUCAAUUGUUUUUGUUUAAUACUUACAUAUAGAGCUGUUAUUGUUGUAAAUAUUUGUCUCAGUGGAAGUCACUGAUCAUUGCUCAAACCUAGAAGGUUUAGAAUGGCUGUGAUAUUUUAAGUUAUUAUCAUUUUUAUAAACAUUUUAUUAUUAUAAUGCAGCUAAUUUGUGCGUUGUAAAUAUAAACAUGCUGAUUGGUUCAUAACGUUUUUUCCUGUCUGAAUGAUUAUUUUUCCUGACAAAAAUGUAGUGUAGAACAAUUUAAUAUUUGUAAAUUAUAUGUAAUUUACCACAUGUUUGAUGCAUUGUUUGAGGACUAAAAAA
RNA transcript from Dreissena polymorpha, 4772 nucleotides. RefSeq lists it as uncharacterized. The record is from RefSeq and is a predicted model, not a curated record. Lineage: Eukaryota; Metazoa; Mollusca; Bivalvia; Myida; Dreissenidae. The transcript has 6 exons.